AACCUUAUGGACCUGCGGGCGUAUACCUGCGGAGGGAUCAUUAAUGAAUUUGAACUACCUUUCAGUCGUGCUGGCUUUGCAAGUGCACACUGUCUGGUUUCAUCCAACACCCUUGUGCACCUUUGGCCUCGCGUUGUAAUCUUUACGCGUGAGGAUUUUACACAAACUCGUAUGUAAAAGAAUGUAGAUCUAGUGCGUAAGCACGAAAUAAACAACUUUUAACAAUGGAUCUCAGAUCGG
This 240-nucleotide unclassified non-coding RNA is filed under the name soil metagenome. RNAcentral's name for it is "partial contains 5.8S ribosomal RNA, internal transcribed spacer 2, and large subunit ribosomal RNA". The record is from RNAcentral.